Molecule: ribosomal RNA, 497 nt
Filed under: uncultured bacterium
Lineage: Bacteria
Description: partial 16S ribosomal RNA
Rfam family: Bacterial small subunit ribosomal RNA
Source: RNAcentral
GAUGAACGCUGGCGGCGUGCCUAAUACAUGCCAGUCGAGCGAACAGACGAGGAUCUUGCUCCUCUGACGUUAGCGGCGGACGUGUGAGUAACACGUGGAUAACCUACCUAUAAGACUGGGAUAACUUCGGGAAACCGGAGCUAAUACCGGAUAAUAUAUUGCACCACAUGGUUCAAUAGUGAAAUACGGUUUUGCUGUCACUUAUAGAUUGAUCCGCGCCGCAGUAGCUAGUUGGUAAGGUAACGGCUUACCAAGGCAACGAUGCGUAGCCGACCUGAGAGGGUGAUCGGACACACGGGAACUGAGAGACGGUCCAGACUCCUACGGGAGGCAGCAGUAGGGAAUCUUCCGCAAUGGGCGAAAGCCUGACGGAGCAACGCCGCGUGAGUGAUGAAGGUCUUAGGAUCGUAAAACGCUGUUAUUAGGGAAGAACAAAUGUGUAAGUAACUAUGCACGUCUUGACGGUACCUAAUCAGAAAGCCACGGCUAACUACGUG